Molecule: non-coding RNA, 29 nt
Filed under: Rattus norvegicus (Norway rat)
Lineage: Eukaryota; Metazoa; Chordata; Mammalia; Rodentia; Muridae
Source: RNAcentral
UCCUACAGACGGUUUUAAUUCCCUUGUUU